CUCAGGACGAACGCUGGCGGCGUGCCUAAUACAUGCAAGUCGAACGCUUCUUUUUCCACCGGAGCUUGCUCCACCGGAAAAAGAGGAGUGGCGAACGGGUGAGUAACACGUGGGUAACCUGCCCAUCAGAAGGGGAUAACACUUGGAAACAGGUGCUAAUACCGUAUAACAAUCRAAACCGCAUGGUUUUGAUUUGAAAGGCGCUUUCGGGUGUCGCUGAUGGAUGGACCCGCGGUGCAUUAGCUAGUUGGUGAGGUAACGGCUCACCAAGGCCACGAUGCAUAGCCGACCUGAGAGGGUGAUCGGCCACAUUGGGACUGAGACACGGCCCAAACUCCUACGGGAGGCAGCAGUAGGGAAUCUUCGGCAAUGGACGAAAGUCUGACCGAGCAACGCCGCGUGAGUGAAGAAGGUUUUCGGAUCGUAAAACUCUGUUGUUAGAGAAGAACAAGGAUGAGAGUAACUGUUCAUCCCUUGACGGUAUCUAACCAGAAAGCCACGGCUAACUACGUGCCAGCAGCCGCGGUAAUACGUAGGUGGCAAGCGUUGUCCGGAUUUAUUGGGCGUAAAGCGAGCGCAGGCGGUUUCUUAAGUCUGAUGUGAAAGCCCCCGGCUCAACCGGGGAGGGUCAUUGGAAACUGGGAGACUUGAGUGCAGAAGAGGAGAGUGGAAUUCCAUGUGUAGCGGUGAAAUGCGUAGAUAUAUGGAGGAACACCAGUGGCGAAGGCGGCUCUCUGGUCUGUAACUGACGCUGAGGCUCGAAAGCGUGGGGAGCAAACAGGAUUAGAUA
RNAcentral lists this ribosomal RNA (790 nucleotides) under Enterococcus faecium. Its description in RNAcentral is "bacterial SSU rRNA". It matches the Rfam family "Bacterial small subunit ribosomal RNA", at positions 23 to 784 of the family's 1533-position model. Lineage: Bacteria; Bacillati; Bacillota; Bacilli; Lactobacillales; Enterococcaceae. The record is from RNAcentral.